AAUAUCUCCUCAGAAACAGAACUCCAGUUUAUUUCAAUGAAAUAGAAGCUAGCAUUUUCCAAGAUAUCCUACCUUGUUUCCUCCCUUCCCAGAAACUAUCCCAUUUCUUAUUGUUAUGUAACAUUUCAUUUCACAAAUUGCUACUUGAACACUGGCCUUUAAAAUAUGAACACUGGUUUUCCUGACUCUUAGCUGCCCAAGAAGAGUAAAUCUUCGGAAGUUUCGAGUCUAGAUAAAGCAAGUCCCAGGGGAAAGGAGCUCAUUCCUCAUCUCCUCCACCACCAAGAUGAAGGUGCUAAAACUAAAAUGCAGAGAAUUUGAAUGACUGAGCCAAGAUCAUCAUGGAAAGUUGGAGGCAGAGAUUUUGGAACUGUACGCUUUGGUGGCUAUUGGUGGCUCACCCACACCUGCUUGGCAUUUUGACAUUCAUAGAGACACCACGCCAACCAGAUUUGUGGUUCUGAAUUGCAGCCUGAAGAGUGACCGUCAUUGGCCAGGGAGAUCUCGCUUUUGUUUGAUUCCUGGUGCCACUUGCUGUCACAGAUUCCACCUUGAAAAGGAGGACCUGGGAUAAAGAUUUGGAACUCUUAAGGAGAGUCGUGUUCACAAAUCUUUGGGAGGGACCACGGCAGGAGGCCUAUUUGGUCUUUUUCUUUCCUUUCUUAAAAGCGAUAUGAGCAUCAAACUAUUUACAGCCUUAAGUAAACCUGCAGUUCAGGACACUGAAGCAUACAUAAUACACUCCUCUCAACUGAACAGUGCAUAAGCAGGCACUCUGUAGAUUUCUUCACACAGGAUUCAUGUGACUCUAAUUAAGAGGAUUGGCACAGUUGGCUCCCUGAAAAAAGGCUUAACUCAGGUUACCACCUUAAUAUGAAUAACAUUUUUCUAAUUAAAAACAGAAAGAGGAACAAUGAUUUCUUAAUGUACUUUCUGUGCUUACGGUCCACCUUGUCACACUGCACCUAACCUUACAUCUUGGAGUCUGUUCUCAUGUGCGUAUUCAGAUCAUAUAUCAAUAUAUUAAAUAUGCAAAUCCCUGCCCCCUUAUGGUCCUAGUGUUGCCGAGAUGUGCAGAGCAUUGUGGAUGGAUUGCAGCCUGUUUUCUUUUGCUGAUGGCUACUUUGACACGCUCAAUACUUGUGCUUUGGAGCUUUUAAGAUUCGACUUAUAGAACCUUGUACUUCGGAUAUGCAUUAUCCUCUGAAAAGGAAAACAUAUAACCUUUAGGGAAAAAAUGUGGACUCUGGGAGUCCUCGUUUAAGCUUCCUGAAAAGACUACCUCAUGGGCUGCCAAUCAUGUGCCUUCCACAGACCAUUUCCUCUGCUGCUGAAAGAAAAUGCGUAAUUACCAGAGAAAAUGUCACUUUGCAUGAUGUACAGGUGAUGUGGGAAAUGAGGCACAACCACAAAAAGCAACAAACAUUCCCAAAUACCUGCCUUAUCUGUGCUUCCUUAAGAGCCAAAUGCCCUUUUGGGGAACAGACCUGUCCCUAGUAGCAUUUUCGAUGACUCCCAGCCCUUCUUAUAUUUCCUUGUCAAUUAAAAAUGAUAAAUUAAGCUUCUUGCAGGGCAGACAAUCAGCCAGCCAGUGUGAACCAUAUGAAGACCCAAGAUUUUGGAUGAAUCAGAAUCAGCCUGAAGAAUUCAUCUGGUGACUCCGGGAACUGACCGUCAGCCAGAGGAACAUCUGAGAUGUCGCAUGCGGCACCCAGGCAUUCUGACGAGCCACUGGCAUUAAGAAAGUUGCAGUGACAUUUCCCCGCAGCCUAUGCUUCCUUCCUGGCUCCUGGCAUUGGAAACAAAUGGAGAGAAAGACUUCUGGAAGAAGAGGACCACUGAAACAAGGCCGUAACUUUGGCCCUGGAGAUGAACACGUUUGUCCCUGUAGGCGGAGGAGGGAGAACGACUAAACGGAUCAUCUCUCUCACCAAAUGAACCUCUACUUUCCAGGGAAGAAAAGCAGGGGGCUGCUCUGACUUUGCCAAGUGAACGAAUGUUUCUCCAUGAACAUGAGUACUUUUGGUGCCUUUAUUCAGGAAGCUUUUACAUUUGAAUAAUUCAAAAUACUUCAUAAAAUACUUGUUUUUUACUAUGGCGUCGCAGUAGUUAUAAUCAAAGAAAAAUCUUAUUUAAGACAGAGCCAUGAAUAAAAGUUAUUUACAAACCUAUUCAAAGAGGCAAAGUAUAAUGGAAAACAUACAAAGGCUUGUUUUUACCUUUGAAGCAAAACUUUGGCAGAUUGUAUUUUGGAUUCUACAUAUUUCACUUACGGUUACAACCGAUAUUCAUGAAAUGCACUGACAGGAGUCUAACACCAACUUUAAAAAGAUGAAGUAUCUCUUCCUUAAUUAAUGUCUACAAAGAGAUUUAAUGAUGAAAAGUGCCAUUAAGUGCCAAGUACUAUUAAUUAUUUUCUGCUGCAAGAGGCAUAGAGUCCUCAUUAUAUACUGUUUUAAAUAUUAUAAAAUAUUUACAAAAUAAGUUUUAAAAAAUUGCAAACAAGCCAAAUAAAAAAGCAUUUUCCUUUUGAGGUGAAACUUAAGAUCAAAACCCAAAGAAAAACUCAUUUGCAUCCUACAUGAGUAGGCUUCAAUGAAUGCUCCAAAGAUACCUGGCACUUUGCUUAUUCUUUUUCCAUAUUCCAUGUACCUCUGCUGUCUGCAUAAACUGAAGCCCACCGCUCUCACCAUUUACGGAACUGCCUUGGCUGCUCAAGGGACCAGAUGUUCCCUGGGGUUGCAACCCACUGCUCCUGCAUUUAGCCUCCUGGCUGGCUGGUUGCUUGCUUGGAUUCAGCCCAGUACAGAUGGCAUCACCACUAAAUCAGAGAAGGAUGACACACGGUUUCCUGAUCCUCCUUCAAGUUGCUACUUUGCUUGUAAGAGCUCAUUUCCUGGGAAUCCAAAUAAUUAAGUUUCACCUGUGCCAUGUAUUCCAUAAUUACAUUAUUUUGUUAAUUAUGCUUGAUGACAAAGUUAUCAAAAUUCAACCUGAUCAAAACCAAAAUAAAAUCUGGAAG
This is a long non-coding RNA of Orcinus orca (killer whale), 3022 nucleotides long. RefSeq lists it as uncharacterized. The record is from RefSeq and is a predicted model, not a curated record. NCBI's taxonomy places the organism in Eukaryota, Metazoa, Chordata, Mammalia, Artiodactyla, Delphinidae. The transcript is spliced from 6 exons.